Molecule: ribosomal RNA, 1307 nt
Filed under: Ligilactobacillus salivarius
Lineage: Bacteria; Bacillati; Bacillota; Bacilli; Lactobacillales; Lactobacillaceae
Description: bacterial LSU rRNA
Rfam family: Bacterial large subunit ribosomal RNA
Source: RNAcentral
CCAAACUAAGAAGCUUGCUUCUUAGGGUUGUAGGACUGAACAUCUGAGUUACCAAGAAAUGAAGUAGUUGAAUAAUCUGGGAAGAUUAGCCAAAGAGAGUGAUAGCCUCGUAAACGAAACUUCGUUUCCUCAGUUCAGGAUCCUGAGUACGGCGGAACACGUGAAACUCCGUCGGAAUCCGGGAGGACCAUCUCCCAAGGCUAAAUACUACCUAGUGACCGAUAGUGAACCAGUACCGUGAGGGAAAGGUGAAAAGCACCCCGGGAGGGGAGUGAAAUAGUUCCUGAAACCAUAUGCCUACAAGUAGUCAGAGCUCGUUAAUGAGUGAUGGCGUGCCUUUUGUAGAAUGAACCGGCGAGUUACGUUAGCGUGCGAGGUUAAGGAGGAAAGUCCGGAGCCGUAGCGAAAGCGAGUCUGAAUAGGGCGAGAUAGUACGUUGACGUAGACCCGAAACCAGGUGACCUACCCAUGUCCAGGUUGAAGGUGCGGUAAAACGCACUGGAGGACCGAACCCGUGUAUGUUGAAAAAUGCUGGGAUGAGGUGUGGGUAGAGGUGAAAUUCCAAACGAACUUGGAGAUAGCUGGUUCUCUCCGAAAUAGCUUUAGGGCUAGCCUCGGAGUUAAGAAUCGUGGAGGUAGAGCACUGUUUGGACUAGGGGCCCGUCUUGGGUUACUGAAUUCAGAUAAACUCCGAAUGCCACAGAUUUAUAUCCGGGAGUCAGACUGCGAGUGAUAAGAUCCGUAGUCGAAAGGGAAACAGCCCAGACCACCGAUUAAGGUCCCAAAAUAUGUGUUAAGUGGAAAAGGAUGUGGAAUUGCAUAGACAACUAGGAUGUUGGCUUAGAAGCAGCCACCAUUUAAAGAGUGCGUAAUAGCUCACUAGUCGAGUGAUCCUGCGCCGAAAAUGUAACGGGGCUAAACACAUUACCGAAAUCGUGGAUGUACCGUAAGGAACAUGGUAGGAGAGCGUUCUAAGGACGGCGAAGCUAGACCGUAAGGACUGGUGGAGUGCUUAGAAGUGAGAAUGCCGGUAUGAGUAGCGAAAGAUCAGUGAGAAUCUGGUCCACCGUAUGACUAAGGUUUCCUGGGGAAGGCUCGUCCUCCCAGGGUUAGUCGGGACCUAAGCCGAGGCCGAGAGGCGUAGGCGAUGGAUAACAGGUUGAGAUUCCUGUACUGGUUAAACUUGUUUGAACAAUGGAGGGACGCAGGAGGCUAUCGAUGCGUACUGUUGGAUAUGUACGUUCAAGCAAUAAGUCUGUAGAUGAGUCAAAUGCUUAUCUACUUAAGGACAAGUUGUGAUGAGGAGC